UAUGUGUCACACGGGACUGCCGGUCUUAAGCCGGAGGAAGGUGGGGAUGAUGUCAAGUCAGCAUGGCCUUUAUAUCCUGGGCUACACACACGCUACAAUGGCCAACACAAUAGGUUGCUAAGCCGCGAGGUGGCGCCAAUACCAUAAAGUUGGUACUCAGUUCAGAUUGUAGGCUGCAAACCCGCCUGCAUGAAGAUGGAGUUGCUAGUAACCGCAGGUCAGCUAUACUGCGGUGAAUACGUUCCCGGGCUU
RNAcentral lists this ribosomal RNA (252 nucleotides) under uncultured Leptolinea sp. RNAcentral's name for it is "partial 16S ribosomal RNA". It matches the Rfam family "Bacterial small subunit ribosomal RNA", at positions 1130 to 1381 of the family's 1533-position model. The record is from RNAcentral. Lineage: Bacteria; Bacillati; Chloroflexota; Anaerolineae; Anaerolineales; Anaerolineaceae.